GCGGGGAUCCGACCCGCUGCCCCCGCAAUGCAAGGCCGCGCUGGCCUUCCAUUGCAAGCAAGAGGAACAACACCAGUCCGCUCCCUGCAGCCAGGGGAGGGCCGUGCCAGUGCCAGUGGUUUUAUUACAAGCUGCUGACCGAGGAAGCAAGUGUGCCUGGAGGACAAGAAGGAGGCACCGGGUGAGGGCAUGCAGCAGACGCACAGUGAGCCAGAGGCACAAAGAACCCUGAGAUGAGACCCCACGGAGCUCAGAGCAGUGAGAAAGGCGAAUUAUGGGCAUCUCCAAAGGAUCAGGUCCUGAGCUCAUAAAUCCCAAUUUCCAGGCAGCCACGAAUCCCCAAAGAAUCCACGGUCGCUUUGGAAAACAUCAGCCAGGCCUCUGGUGUCCCCGGGGUAGAACAUGGAUCUCAAUAAAGCAGAGCAUCCGAUGGCUGCAUCUGUCCCACGCGCUGUCCGUGUCACACAGGUCCAUGCCUUGUGCCAAGCUCCUGGCCAUGCAGGAGGACCCCCAGAGAUAGGUUCCCCAGUAGUAUAUGACCCUGAUCGCCAAAGGACUCCCGCUCCCCACCUGCCUCCCCAGUCAUAGGAUGGCUUAGGUUGGAGGGGACCUCAAGGAUCGUCUUGUUUCAACCCCCCUGCCAUGGGCAGGGUUGCCAACCACUAGAUCAGGCUGCCCAGGAUCCCAUCUCACCAGGCCCUGA
This 703-nucleotide long non-coding RNA is filed under the name Gallus gallus (chicken). RNAcentral describes it as "long non-coding RNA NONGGAT002368". Lineage: Eukaryota; Metazoa; Chordata; Aves; Galliformes; Phasianidae. The record is from RNAcentral.